UACAGAGGGUGCAAGCGUUGUUCGGAAUUAUUGGGCGUAAAGCGCGUGUAGGCGGCUUUGCAAGUCGGGUGUGAAAUCCCUCGGCUUAACCGAGGACGUGCGGAAGAAACUGCAAGGCUCGAGUCCGGAAGAGGGGGGCGGAAUUCCCAGUGUAGCGGUGAAAUGCGUAGAUAUUGGGAGGAAUACCGGUGGCGAAGGCGGCAUCCUGGACCGACAUUGACGCUGAGGAGCGAAAGCUAGGGGAGCAAACGGG
RNAcentral lists this ribosomal RNA (253 nucleotides) under uncultured bacterium. RNAcentral's name for it is "partial 16S ribosomal RNA". It matches the Rfam family "Bacterial small subunit ribosomal RNA", at positions 524 to 776 of the family's 1533-position model. The record is from RNAcentral.